Molecule: small RNA, 21 nt
Filed under: Arabidopsis thaliana (thale cress)
Lineage: Eukaryota; Viridiplantae; Streptophyta; Magnoliopsida; Brassicales; Brassicaceae
Description: ATSL292760
Source: RNAcentral
GACUUCUUCUUCUACUCUUCU